Molecule: long non-coding RNA, 326 nt
Organism: Sapajus apella (tufted capuchin)
Lineage: Eukaryota; Metazoa; Chordata; Mammalia; Primates; Cebidae
Exons: 3
Source: RefSeq, a predicted model, not a curated record
UCACCCAUAAAAACAAUGAAGUCCUGUCAUUUGCCACAACACAGAUGAACGUGGAGGACAUCAUGUUAAAUGAAACAAGGCAGGCCCAGAAAGACAAAUACUGCAGGAUCUCACUUCUGGAAUCUAAACGCGUUGAAUUCGUAGUAGCAAGAAGUACGAUAUGAUUAUCAGGGGCAGAGGGAAGGAGAAGGAAAGAAAAUGGUUGGGGUGGGAAUUCAGGAGAUAUUGGUUAAAGGAUACAAAUUUUCAUUUAUGUAGGAAUAUAUUCAAGAGAUCUGUUGUUGCAACUUAAUGACUAUAGCUAAUAACAGUGUAUUAUAUACUUG